UACGGAGGGGGCUAGCGUUGUUCGGAAUUACUGGGCGUAAAGCGCGCGUAGGCGGUUCUUCAAGUCAGAGGUGAAAGCCCGGUGCUCAACACCGGAAUUGCCUUUGAAACUAGGGAACUUGAAUCCAGGAGAGGUGAGUGGAAUUCCGAGUGUAGAGGUGAAAUUCGUAGAUAUUCGGAAGAACACCAGUGGCGAAGGCGGCUCACUGGACCGGUAUUGACGCUGAGGUGCGAAAGCGUGGGGAGCAAACAGG
Molecule: ribosomal RNA, 253 nt
Filed under: uncultured bacterium
Lineage: Bacteria
Description: partial 16S ribosomal RNA
Rfam family: Bacterial small subunit ribosomal RNA
Source: RNAcentral